Long non-coding RNA from Apis dorsata (giant honeybee), 962 nucleotides. RefSeq lists it as uncharacterized. The record is from RefSeq and is a predicted model, not a curated record. The transcript is spliced from 2 exons. NCBI's taxonomy places the organism in Eukaryota, Metazoa, Arthropoda, Insecta, Hymenoptera, Apidae.
UAUAUAUAAAUAUAUUAUGCAGAUAGAAAAAAUCACAGCUAUGUCAUAAUAAAAAAGAGCAUGCAGAAUAAAAGUGUAUUGAUGCUCACAUACACGCACGCACGCAGGCCAGAAGAGAGUUUCAUUUUUGUUCGUACACAUCGCCAUUAUCAUUGUCAUUAUAUAUAUAUAUUUUUUUAGUUUUGCUUGGUUGGUUGGUUGCUUGCUCCGUUUUAAAAAACGAGUAAAAAUAAGGAAAGGUGCAAACUGUUACCUUUAUUAUUCGGUCAAGUCAAGCAAACCUCGGGGGUCCACGAGAUACCGACGCAUUCCCAGAGAGCCAAAGCAACGUAAAUGUAAUACACACUGUGUCUGAGGAACAGGGAAUUUUCUGGAUUUCAAGGAGAAUAGGAUAGAUUCAAUGAAUUUAGAAGGUUCGAUAAUGAAACGAUUAUUAGUUUAUAGCUUGCCUUUAAUUCGUACGAGAACACUACGACGAUUAAUGAUGGUAAUGCAGGAAUCGAAUUAGUAAAGCAUUAUGACGUGAUUCGAUGGUUAUGGAUAUUGAUUAUGGCAAUUCGGAUAAAGAUGGAUUUGUUUAAUCUUUCAAGAUGUAUAAUUCAGGAUAUUCAAGGAUGAUCUCGACCUCGACGUUAUUUUUUAUUAUAAAAUACAUAUUCGUUGGAGAAUUCGCAUUUAUUAAAUUUCGAGUUUUCAAUAAUCUCUUAAGACGCAAUAAAAUUUUCAGUGGCAAAAAAAAUAUUUAAAUACUAAAUUUAAAUACUACUAAAUACGCUUAAUCAAAUAUCUACUAAAAAUUAAUUAAUAAUUACAAAUUCUAAAUAGCUGGACUAAAGUUAUUAACAAUAAACUCAAUUAAAUAACUCUCUAAAAAGUUUGCGAACAAAAAACAAAUAACAAAUAUUCGUCAGACUAUUAUUAGACUAUUAUUAAUUCUAAAAAUAAAAUCCAACAAAUACAAA